CCUGCCCUUAAAGAUGUUGCAGGUAUGACUGCUGUACCCCAUGUGUCAGUAGGUGGCAAAAAAGAAAAGAGACAAUGUCUACAGUGUUCUGACCUAUGGACAUCUGAAUGAUUAAUACCCUAACAUU
Molecule: small nucleolar RNA, 127 nt
Organism: Rattus norvegicus (Norway rat)
Lineage: Eukaryota; Metazoa; Chordata; Mammalia; Rodentia; Muridae
Product: small nucleolar RNA SNORA17
Source: Ensembl